RNAcentral lists this ribosomal RNA (498 nucleotides) under uncultured bacterium. RNAcentral describes it as "partial 16S ribosomal RNA". It matches the Rfam family "Bacterial small subunit ribosomal RNA", at positions 29 to 523 of the family's 1533-position model. The record is from RNAcentral.
AUUGAACGCUGGCGGCAUGCCUUACACAUGCAAGUCGAACGGUAACGCGGGGCAACCUGGCGACGAGUGGCGAACGGGUGAGUAAUGCAUCGGAACGUGCCCAGUAGUGGGGGAUAGCCCGGCGAAAGCCGGAUUAAUACCGCAUACGACCUAAGGGUGAAAGCGGGGGAUCGCAAGACCUCGCGCUAUUGGAGCGGCCGAUGUCGGAUUAGCUAGUUGGUGGGGUAAAGGCCUACCAAGGCAACGAUCCGUAGCUGGUAUGAGAGGACGACCAGCCACACUGGGACUGAGACACGGCCCAGACUCCAACGGGAGGCAGCAGUGGGGAAUUUUGGACAAUGGGCGCAAGCCUGAUCCAGCCAUGCCGCGUGCGGGAAGAAGGCCUUCGGGUUGUAAACCGCUUUUGUCAGGGAAGAAACGGUCUGGGUUAAUACCUCGGGCUAAUGACGGUACCUGAAGAAUAAGCACCGGCUAACUACGUGCCAGCAGCCGCAGUAA